RNAcentral lists this ribosomal RNA (484 nucleotides) under uncultured bacterium. RNAcentral's name for it is "partial 16S ribosomal RNA". It matches the Rfam family "Bacterial small subunit ribosomal RNA", at positions 29 to 507 of the family's 1533-position model. The record is from RNAcentral.
AUUGAACGCUGGCGGCAUGCUUUACACAUGCCAGUCGAACGGCAGCGCGGGCUUCGGCCUGGCGGCGAGUGGCGAACGGGUGAGUAAUACAUCGGAACGUGCCCAGUAGUGGGGGAUAGCUCGGCGAAAGCCGGAUUAAUACCGCAUACGACCUGAGGGUGAAAGCGGGGGAUCUUCGGACCUCGCGCUAUUGGAGCGGCCGAUGGCAGAUUAGCUAGUUGGUGGGGUAAAGGCCUACCAAGGCGACGAUCUGUAGCUGGUCUGAGGGGACGACCAGCCACACUGGGACUGAGACACGGCCCAGACUCCUACGGGAGGCAGCAGUGGGGAAUUUUGGACAAUGGGCGAAAGCCUGAUCCAGCAAUGCCGCGUGUGUGAUGAAGGCCUUCGGGUUGUAAAGCACUUUUGGCGGGAACGAAAAGGACUGUGCCAAUACCACGGUUCGAUGGCGGUACCCGCAGAAUAAGCACCGGCUAACUACGUG